RNAcentral lists this ribosomal RNA (301 nucleotides) under uncultured bacterium. RNAcentral's name for it is "partial 16S ribosomal RNA". It matches the Rfam family "Bacterial small subunit ribosomal RNA", at positions 509 to 807 of the family's 1533-position model. The record is from RNAcentral.
CAGUAGCCGCGGGAAUACCGAGGGUGCAAGCGUUAAUCGGAAUUACUGGGCGUAAAGCGCACGCAGGCGGUCUGACAAGUCAGAUGUGAAAUCCCCGGGCUUAACCUGGGAACUGCAUUUGAAACUGUCAGGCUGGAGUCUUGUAGAGGGGGGUAGAAUUCCAGGUGUAGCGGUGAAAUGCGUAGAGAUCUGGAGGAAUACCGGUGGCGAAGGCGGCCCCCUGGACAAAGACUGACGCUCAGGUGCGAAAGCGUGGGGAGCAAACAGGAUUAGAUACCCCUGUAGUCCCUGUCUCUUAUAC